AUGCCGGGCCUUUAUAGGUCUGGCAAUUGGAAUGAGAACAAUUUAAAUCCCUUAUCGAGGAUCAAUUGGAGGGCAAGUCUGGUGCCAGCAGCCGCGGUAAUUCCAGCUCCAAUAGCGUAUAUUAAAGUUGUUGCAGUUAAAAAGCUCGUAGUUGGAUUUGUGGCGUACGGUGGGUCCCGGGCACUAGUUGUCUGAGUGACUUGCCGUUGCCAUCCUUGGGUGGAACCUGUGUGGCAUUAGGUUGUCGUGCAGGGGAUGCCCAUCUUUUACUGUGAAAAAAUUAGAGUGUUCAAAGCAGGCUUAUGCCGUUGAAUAUAUUAGCAUGGAAUAAUGAGAUAGGACUUUUUCGCUAUUUUGUUGGUUUGCGCGAAGAGGUAAUGAUUAAUAGGGACAGUUGGGGGUAUUCGUAUUCCAUUGUCAGAGGUGAAAUUCUUGGAUUUCUGGAAGACGAACUACUGCGAAAGUAUUUACCAAGGAUGUUUUCAUUAAUCAAGAACGAAAGUUAGGGGAUCGAAGAUGAUUAGAUACCAUCGUAGUCUUAACCAUAAACUAUGCCGACAAGGGAUUGGUGGAGUCUCGUUACGUCUCCAUCAGCACCUUAUGAGAAAUCACAAGUCUUUGGGUUCCGGGGGGAGUAUGGUCGCAAGGCUGAAACUUAAAGAAAUUGACGGAAGGGCACCACCAGGAGUGGAGCCUGCGGCUAAAUUUGACCCAACACGGGAAAACUUACCAGGUCCAGACAUAGUGAGGAUUGACAGAUUGAGAGCUCUUUCUUGAUUCUAUGGGUGGUGGCGCAUGGCCGUUCUUAGUUGGUGGAGUGAUUUGUCUGGUUAAUUCCGUUAACGAACGAGACCCCUGCCUGCUAAAUAGCCCAGUGAGUGAAUCUUCACUGACUGCUGGCUUCUUAGAGGGACGUGCAUUCUAUCAGAUGCAGGAAGAUAGGGGCAAUAACAGGUCUGUGAUGCCCUUAGAUGUCCUGGGCCGCACGCGCGCUACACUGAUGCUUUCAACGAGUCCUACCUUGGCCGAGAGGCCUGGGCAAUCUUUUGAACGUGCAUCGUGAUAGGGAUAGAUUAUUGCAAUUAUUAAUCUUGAACGAGGAAUUCCUAGUAAACGCAAAUCAUCAAUUUGCAUUGAUUACGUCCCUGCCCUUUGUACACACCGCCCGUCGCACCUACCGAUUGAAUGGUCCGGUGAAGCCUCGGGAUUGUGACCAGUUUCCUUUAUUGGGAGUUGGUCGUGAGAACUUGUCUAAACCUUAUCAUUUAGAGGAAGGUGAAGUC
Molecule: ribosomal RNA, 1283 nt
Filed under: metagenome
Description: SSU rRNA
Rfam family: Eukaryotic small subunit ribosomal RNA
Source: RNAcentral